GUUGGUACAGAUGUAGUAAUACUUAAUAGAUAAACCGGUGUAAAUCCGGUGCGGUCCCGCCACUGUAAUGAGGAGCUUCCUUACGAGUAACCACUGACGAACAAAGUAGUUGGGAAGGUGUAAGUGCAAGCAAUGAUUCAAAGCCAGAAGAACUGUCUGUAAU
This 163-nucleotide non-coding RNA is filed under the name chicken gut metagenome. The record is from RNAcentral.